GGGCAUGGUAUGAUGAAACAUGAC
RNAcentral lists this unclassified non-coding RNA (24 nucleotides) under Dictyostelium discoideum. The record is from RNAcentral. Lineage: Eukaryota; Evosea; Eumycetozoa; Dictyosteliales; Dictyosteliaceae.